Molecule: ribosomal RNA, 466 nt
Filed under: uncultured bacterium
Lineage: Bacteria
Description: partial 16S ribosomal RNA
Rfam family: Bacterial small subunit ribosomal RNA
Source: RNAcentral
CUACGGGACGCAGCAGUCGAGAAUAGUCUACAAUGGACGAAAGUCUGAUAGUGCGAUGCCGCGUGGAUGAAGAAGCAUUUCGGUGUGUAAAGUCCUUUUCUGUGUGAGCAAUGUUUUCCAGGUUAAUAGCUUGGAGAAAGCGAUAUUAACACAGGAAUAAGCUCCGGCUAACUCCGUGCCAGCAGCCGCGGUAACACGGGGGGAGCAAGCGUUGUCCGGAAUUACUAGGCGUAAAGGGUAAGUAGGCGGAAUUGUAAGUCAGAUGUUAAAGGCACCGGCUCAACCGGUGUAUGGCAUUUGAUACUGUAAUUCUAGAGUAAGGUGGGGGAAGACGGAAUUCCUGGUGUAGCGGUGGAAUGCGCAGAUAUCAGGAGGAACACCAGAGGCGCAGGCGGUCUUCUAUACCAUUACUGACGCUCAAUUACGAAGGUGUGGGUAUCAAACAGGAUUAGAUACCCCAGUAGUC